RNAcentral lists this ribosomal RNA (508 nucleotides) under uncultured bacterium. Its description in RNAcentral is "bacterial SSU rRNA". It matches the Rfam family "Bacterial small subunit ribosomal RNA", at positions 17 to 518 of the family's 1533-position model. The record is from RNAcentral.
UACUGGCGUCAGGAUGAACGCUAGCGACAGGCUAACACAUGCAAGUCGAGGGGCAGCAUAAAAGUAGCAAUACUUGGUGGCGACCGGCGCACGGGUGAGUAACGCGUAUGCAACCUACCUAUCAGAGGGGAAUAACCCGGCGAAAGUCGGACUAAUACCGCAUAAAACAGGGGCACCGCAUGGUGAUAUUUGUUAAAGAAAUUCGCUGAUAGAUGGGCAUGCGUUCCAUUAGGUAGUUGGUGAGGUAACGGCUCACCAAGCCGACGAUGGAUAGGGGAACUGAGAGGUUGGUCCCCCACACUGGUACUGAGACACGGACCAGACUCCUACGGGAGGCAGCAGUGAGGAAUAUUGGUCAAUGGGCGGGAGCCUGAACCAGCCAAGUCGCGUGAAGGAAGAAGGAUCUAUGGUUCGUAAACUUCUUUUGCAGGGGAAUAAAGUGCAGGACGUGUCCUGUUUUGUAUGUACCCUGAGAAUAAGGAUCGGCUAACUCCGUGCCAGCCGCUGC